RNAcentral lists this ribosomal RNA (478 nucleotides) under uncultured bacterium. RNAcentral describes it as "partial 16S ribosomal RNA". It matches the Rfam family "Bacterial small subunit ribosomal RNA", at positions 28 to 523 of the family's 1533-position model. The record is from RNAcentral.
GACGAACGCUGGCGGCGUGCUUAACACAUGCAAGUCGAACGGUAAGGCCCUUCGGGGUACACGAGUGGCGAACGGGUGAGUAACACGUGGGUGAUCUGCCCUGCACUUCGGGAUAAGCCUGGGGAACUGGGUCUAAUACCGGAUAGGACCACUGCCUGCAUGGGUGGUGGUGGAAAGCUUUUGCGGUGUGGGAUGGGCCCGCGGCCUAUCAGCUUGUUGGUGGGGUGAUGGCCUACCAAGGCGACGACGGGUAGCCGGCCUGGGAGGGUGACCGGCCAGACUGGGACUGGGUUACGGCCCAGACUCCUACGGGGGGCAGCAGUGGGGAAUAUUGCACAAUGGGCGCAAGCCUGAUGCAGCGACGCCGCGUGAGGGAUGACGGCCUUCGGGUUGUAAACCUCUUUCAGCACCGACGAAGCGCAAGUGACGGUAGGUGCAGAAGAAGGACCGGCCAACUACGUGCCAGCAGCCGCCGUAA